GAUGAACGCUAGCGGCAGGCUUAACACAUGCAAGUCGAGGGGCAGCACGGGUGCUUGCACUUGGUGGCGACCGGCGGACGGGUGCGUAACGCGUAUGCAACCUACCUUAUACAGGGAGAUAGCCCAGAGAAAUUUGGAUUAAUAUGCCAUAAUAUCAUAAAGCCACAUGGUUUAAUGAUUAAAGAUUUAUCGGUAUAAGAUGGGCAUGCGUAUGAUUAGCUAGUUGGUGAGGUAAUGGCUCACCAAGGCGACGAUCAUUAGGGGGCCUGAGAGGGUGAACCCCCACACUGGUACUGAGACACGGACCAG
Molecule: ribosomal RNA, 309 nt
Filed under: uncultured bacterium
Lineage: Bacteria
Description: bacterial SSU rRNA
Rfam family: Bacterial small subunit ribosomal RNA
Source: RNAcentral